CCUACGGGUGGCAGCAGUGGGGAAUAUUGCACAAUGGGGGAAACCCUGAUGCAGCGACGCCGCGUGAGUGAAGAAGUAUUUCGGUAUGUAAAGCUCUAUCAGCAGGGAAGAAAAUGACGGUACCUGAUUAAUAAGCCCCGGCUCACUACGUGCCAGCAGCCGCGGGAAUACGUAGGGGGCAAACGUUAUCCGGAUUUACUGGGUGUAAAGGGAGCGUAGACGGCAGCACAAGUCUGGAGGGAAAUGCCGGGGCUUAACCCCGGAACUGCUUUGGAAACUGUGCAGCUAGAGUGAAGGAGAGGUAAGUGGAAUUCCUAGUGUAGCGGUGAAAUGCAUAGAUAUUAGGAGGAACACCAGUGGCGAAGGCGGCUUACUGGACUGUAACUGACGUUGAGGCUCGAAAGCGUGGGGAGCAAACAGGAUUAGAUACCCGGGUAGUC
This 440-nucleotide ribosomal RNA is filed under the name uncultured bacterium. Its description in RNAcentral is "partial 16S ribosomal RNA". It matches the Rfam family "Bacterial small subunit ribosomal RNA", at positions 338 to 795 of the family's 1533-position model. The record is from RNAcentral.